AGUGAACGCUGGCGGUAGGCCUAACACAUGCAAGUCGAACGGCAGCACAGUAAGAGCUUGCUCUUACGGGUGGCGAGUGGCGGACGGGUGAGGAAUACAUCGGAAUCUACUUUUUCGUGGGGGAUAACGUAGGGAAACUUACGCUAAUACCGCAUACGACCUACGGGUGAAAGCAGGGGAUCUUCGGACCUUGCGCGAUUGAAUGAGCCGAUGUCGGAUUAGCUAGUUGGCGGGGUAAAGGCCCACCAAGGCGACGAUCCGUAGCUGGUCUGAGAGGAUGAUCAGCCACACUGGAACUGAGACACGGUCCAGACUCCUACGGGAGGCAGCAGUGGGCAAUAUUAGACAAUGGGCGCAAGCCUGAUCCAGCCAUACCGCGUGGGUGAAGAAGGCCUUCGGGUUGUAAAGCCCUUUUGUUGGGAAAGAAAAGCAGCAGGUUAAUACCCCGCUGUUCUGACGGUACCCAAAGAAUAAGCACCGGCUAACUUCGUG
RNAcentral lists this ribosomal RNA (492 nucleotides) under uncultured bacterium. Its description in RNAcentral is "partial 16S ribosomal RNA". It matches the Rfam family "Bacterial small subunit ribosomal RNA", at positions 29 to 507 of the family's 1533-position model. The record is from RNAcentral.